Molecule: unclassified non-coding RNA, 565 nt
Filed under: uncultured Bartonella sp.
Lineage: Bacteria; Pseudomonadati; Pseudomonadota; Alphaproteobacteria; Hyphomicrobiales; Bartonellaceae
Description: partial 16S-23S ribosomal RNA intergenic spacer
Rfam family: tRNA (bases 197-270)
Source: RNAcentral
CCAAGCCUUCUGGCGAUCUCUUAAAAUAAAGCUUUCCAUGUUUUUAAUAACCAUGGCUUUUAGACACCUCUUUAAAUUCUUAAUGAAUAUUAAAGAUCAGGGGUUAAAAAAAAGAGCUUUAACAAAGAAAGCAACUUAAAAAAACUUUCCAUUGAUAUAAGAUGAUACCGGGGAAGGUUUUCCGGUUUGUUCCGGAGGGCUUGUAGCUCAGUUGGUUAGAGCGCGCGCUUGAUAAGCGUGAGGUCGGAGGUUCAAGUCCUCCCAGGCCCACCAAUUACUCUAUCAAUCUAUAAGCGCUUGUGAAAUUUACUCAUAGGGAAUGUCCCUUAUCAGUUUUUAAGAAAUUUACUUUUGCAAAAUUAUGCUCUCUCUUUGGUUUUAAAAUCCGAAUUUUUAAAAACUAAAGUUAAAGUGGUCUCAAGAUAAAACGGUGUUUUGAGACAAAGUGCAAAAAAUAACGAUUUAAGUGAUAAAUAGCGGUUUAAGUGAACUUAAAUUUGAGCGUUUCAAGUGCAUUAUGUUUUUUUAGGGGCCGUAGCUCAGCUGGGAGAGCACCUGCUUUGCA